This 589-nucleotide ribosomal RNA is filed under the name Hansenula anomala. Its description in RNAcentral is "Wickerhamomyces anomalus partial large subunit ribosomal RNA". It matches the Rfam family "Eukaryotic large subunit ribosomal RNA", at positions 53 to 655 of the family's 3401-position model. The record is from RNAcentral. Lineage: Eukaryota; Fungi; Ascomycota; Saccharomycetes; Phaffomycetales; Wickerhamomycetaceae.
GAGGAAAAGAAACCAACAGGGAUUGCCUCAGUAACGGCGAGUGAAGCGGCAAAAGCUCAAAUUUGAAAUCUAGCACCUUCGGUGUUUGAGUUGUAAUUUGAAGAUGGUAACCUUGGGUUUGGCUCUUGUCUAUGUUCCUUGGAACAGGACGUCAUAGAGGGUGAGAAUCCCGUCUGAUGAGAUGCCCAUUCCUAUGUAAGGUGCUAUCGAAGAGUCGAGUUGUUUGGGAAUGCAGCUCUAAGUGGGUGGUAAAUUCCAUCUAAAGCUAAAUAUUGGCGAGAGACCGAUAGCGAACAAGUACAGUGAUGGAAAGAUGAAAAGAACUUUGAAAAGAGAGUGAAAAAGUACGUGAAAUUGUUGAAAGGGAAGGGCAUUAGAUCAGACUUGGUGUUUUACGAUUAUCUUCUCUUCUUGAGUUGUGCACUCGUAUUUCACUGGGCCAGCAUCGAUUCGGAUGGCAAGAUAAUGGCAGUUGAAUGUGGCUUCACUUCGGUGGAGUGUUAUAGCUUCUGCUGAUAUUGCCUGUCUGGAUCGAGGGCUGCGUCUUUUGACUAGGAUGCUGGCGUAAUGAUCUAAUGCCGCCCGUCUU